UUUUUAUUGUUUUUAUAAUAAAUAUAACCUGCUCAAUGUUUUAUAAAUAGCCGCAGAAUUUUUACUGUGCUAAGGUAGCAUAAUCACUUGCCUUUUAAUUGAAGGCUUGUAUGAAAGGUAUCACAUUUAAGUACCUUUUUUUACUAUUUAUGUUAAUUUAUAUUAAAUAUAAAAAUAUAUUUAUUUUUAAAUUAGACGACAAGACCCUAUUGAAUUUUACUUUAGUUUAGCUGGGGAAGCUGAUUAACUAAUAUUUUAAUUAUAUAAUUUUAUUACAAUGAACCAAUUAAAUUGGGAAAAGGAAUAAAUUACCAUAGGGAUAACAGCGUAAUUUCUUUUUAAAGCUCUUAUUGAAAAAGAAGAUUGCGACCUCGAUGUUGAAUUAAUAUUUCUUAUAAACGCAGUAGUUUCUUAAGAAAGUCUGUUCGACUUUUAAAAUAUUAC
Molecule: ribosomal RNA, 444 nt
Filed under: Zygiella x-notata
Lineage: Eukaryota; Metazoa; Arthropoda; Arachnida; Araneae; Araneidae
Description: partial 16S ribosomal RNA
Rfam family: Bacterial large subunit ribosomal RNA
Source: RNAcentral